Molecule: long non-coding RNA, 417 nt
Filed under: Capra hircus (goat)
Lineage: Eukaryota; Metazoa; Chordata; Mammalia; Artiodactyla; Bovidae
Description: lncRNA (ENSCHIG00000001641.1)
Source: RNAcentral
GAUGAAUUUGAGUAGACUCAGGGAGCUGGUGAUAGACAGGGAAGCCUGGUGUCCUACAGUCCAUGGAGUCGCAGUGAGUCAGAUACAACUGAACUAGUGAACUAAGCUGAACUGAACACUUUUAACAGCAUAUAGAUGAUAUGUCUGUCCUUUUAUCUGUUACUUUUUCAAAGAAAAAAAAUAAGAAGGCAAAAGAAUGAUACGUGAAAAUGUAAACCAAAGAGAUGUUUCUAUAGUAUGGCAUCACGGAAUUUUUUGAAACUGAAAAAUUUUCUAACAGCCAAAUGUGUGGAUCUUGGGGGUACUUUGGAAAAUUCAGGCACUGCAGUUCCUGCAGGAAGUGUGGCCUGCGGAUGUCCAUUGCAUAGCAGAAGCGAGUUUGGAAAAAUGCUGACACUCAGUGAAGUUUGGCUCUGA